UUCUUAUCUAGAGAAGCGGAGGGACUGGCCCUAUGAAGCUUCGGCAACAGACUUUUUUAAAAGUACUGUGCUAAUUCCUGCAAGCAUGUUUAAUGCUUGGAAGAUAAGAG
RNAcentral lists this non-coding RNA (110 nucleotides) under Schinkia azotoformans LMG 9581. Its description in RNAcentral is "Bacillus azotoformans LMG 9581 SAM riboswitch aptamer (S box leader)". It matches the Rfam family "SAM riboswitch aptamer (S box leader)". From Rfam's summary of the family: The SAM riboswitch is found upstream of a number of genes which code for proteins involved in methionine or cysteine biosynthesis in Gram-positive bacteria. The SAM riboswitch acts at the level of transcription termination control. The record is from Rfam by way of RNAcentral. Lineage: Bacteria; Bacillati; Bacillota; Bacilli; Caryophanales; Bacillaceae.